ACGGAAGGCAGCAGUGGGGAAUAUUGGGCAAUGGGCGAAAGCCUGACCCAGCAACGCCGCGUGAAGGAAGAAGGCCUUCGGGUUGUAAACUUCUUUUACCAGGGACGAAGGACGUGACGGUACCUGGAGAAAAAGCAACGGCUAACUACGUGCCAGCAGCCGCGGUAAUACGUAGGUUGCAAGCGUUGUCCGGAUUUACUGGGUGUAAAGGGCGUGUAGGCGGAGAGGCAGGUCAGAUGUGAAAUCCCGGGGCUCAACCCCGGAACUGCAUUUGAAACUGUCUCCCUUGAGUAUCGGAGAGGCAAGCGGAAUUCCUAGUGUAGCGGUGAAAUGCGUAGAUAUUAGGAAGAACACCAGUGGCGAAGGCGAUUCUCUGGACUGUAACUGACGCUGAGGCUCGAAAGCGUGGGGAGCAAACAGGAUUAGAUACCCUGGUA
RNAcentral lists this ribosomal RNA (437 nucleotides) under uncultured Oscillospiraceae bacterium. RNAcentral describes it as "bacterial SSU rRNA". It matches the Rfam family "Bacterial small subunit ribosomal RNA", at positions 341 to 792 of the family's 1533-position model. The record is from RNAcentral. Lineage: Bacteria; Bacillati; Bacillota; Clostridia; Eubacteriales; Oscillospiraceae.